This 440-nucleotide ribosomal RNA is filed under the name uncultured bacterium. Its description in RNAcentral is "partial 16S ribosomal RNA". It matches the Rfam family "Bacterial small subunit ribosomal RNA", at positions 338 to 795 of the family's 1533-position model. The record is from RNAcentral.
CCUACGGGGGGCAGCAGUGGGGAAUAUUGCUCAAUGGACGAGACCCUGAAGCAGCAACGCCGCGUGAAGGAUGAAGGUUUUCAGAUUUUAAACUCCUUUUUUUAUAGGAAUUAAUGUCGGUAUCUAACUUGUAUUCACCGUCUAACUCCAUUCCAGCAGCCACAAUAAUACGGAGGGUGCAGGCGUUAUUCGGAGUCACUGGGCGUAAAGAGGGCGUAGGCGGGAUAGCAGGUCAGAUGUGAAAUCCUAUGGCUUAACCAUAGAACUGCAUUUGAUACUGGUAUUCUAGAGUAUGGGAGAGGUAGGCGGAAUUCUUGGUGUAGGGGUAAAAUCCGUAGAGAUCAAGAGGAAUACUGAUUGCGAAGGCGACUUGCUAGACUAUAACUGACGCUGAUGCGCGAAAGUGUGGGGAGCAAACAGGAUUAGAUACCCGAGUAGUC